GUAACGGCGAGUGAAGCGGCAACAGCUCAUUUGAAAUCUGGUCCUUCCGGGGGCCCGAGUUGUAAUUUGUAGAGGAUGCUUCGGGCGCGGCCGCGGCCGAACUCGCCUGGAACGGCGGGUCAGAGAGGGUGAGAAUCCCGUCCGGGGUCGCGGGCCGCGCCCGGGUGAAGCUCCUUCGACGAGUCGAGUUGUUUGGGAAUGCAGCUCUAAGUGGGUGGUAAAUUUCAUCUAAAGCUAAAUAGGGGCCAGAGACCGAUAGCGCACAAGUAGAGUGAUCGAAAGAUGAAAAGCACUUUGAAAAGAGAGUUAAACAGUAUGUGAAAUUGUUGAAAGGGAAGCGCUUGCGACCAGACCUGCGGGCGGCGGUUCCCCCGGCCCCCCGCGGCCGGGUCACUCCGCCGCCCCCAGGCCAGCAUCGGUUCGGGUGGCCGGUGAAAGGCCCCGGGAAUGUAUCAACCCCCGGGUUGACUUAGAGCCCGGGGUGCAAUGCGGCCCACCCGGACCGAGGCCCGCGCUCCGGCUCGGAUGCUGGCGUAAUGGUCGCAAGCGGCCCGUCUUGAAACACGGACCAAGGAGUCUAACAUCUGUGCGAGUGUGCGGGUGGCAAACCCCGGCGCGGAAUGAAAGUGAACGGAGGUCGGAGCCCGCCCCGGGCGCACGAUCGACCGAUCCGGAAGUCCUCGGAUGGAUUUGAGUAAGAGCACAGCCGUUGGGACCCGAAAGAUGGUGAACUAUGCCUGGAUAGGGUGAAGCCAGAGGAAACUCUGGUGGAGGCUCGCAGCGGUUCUGACGUGCAAAUCGAUCGUCAAAUCUGGGUAUAGGGGCGAAAGACUAAUCGAACCGUCUGGUAGCUGGUUCCUGCCGAAGUUUCCCUCAGGAUAGCAGUAACGCGGGCAGUUUUAUGAGGUAAAGCGAAUGAUUAGAGGCCUGGGGGUUGCAACAACCUUCACCUAUUCUCAAACUUUAAAUAUGUAAGAAGUCC
This 982-nucleotide ribosomal RNA is filed under the name Catapyrenium dactylinum. Its description in RNAcentral is "LSU rRNA". It matches the Rfam family "Eukaryotic large subunit ribosomal RNA", at positions 83 to 1083 of the family's 3401-position model. The record is from RNAcentral. Lineage: Eukaryota; Fungi; Ascomycota; Eurotiomycetes; Verrucariales; Verrucariaceae.